Molecule: ribosomal RNA, 468 nt
Filed under: uncultured bacterium
Lineage: Bacteria
Description: partial 16S ribosomal RNA
Rfam family: Bacterial small subunit ribosomal RNA
Source: RNAcentral
GACGAACGCUGGCGGCGUGCUUAACACAUGCAAGUCGAACGGAAAGGCCCUGCUUUUGUGGGGUGCUCGAGUGGCGAACGGGUGAGUAACACGUGAGUAACCUGCCCUUGACUUUGGGAUAACUUCAGGAAACUGGGGCUAAUACCGGAUAGGAGCUCCUGCUGCAUGGUGGGGGUUGGAAAGUUUCGGCGGUUGGGGAUGGACUCGCGGCUUAUCAGCUUGUUGGUGGGGUAGUGGCUUACCAAGGCUUUGACGGGUAGCCGGCCUGAGAGGGUGACCGGCCACAUUGGGACUGAGAUACGGACCAGACUCCUACGGGAGGCAGCAGGGGGGAAUAUUGCACAAUGGGCGGAAGCCUGAUGCAGCAACGCCGCGUGCGGGAUGACGGCCUUCGGGGUGUAAACCGCUUUCGCCUGUGACGAAGCGUGAGUGACGGUAAUGGGUAAAGAAGCACCGGCUAACUACGUG